CCAAACACCUCCAUUUUCUGCUUUAAAAAUCACCACUGUUACAUUAGUUUUCGGCCAUGAAAACACCUCUAAACUCCAGCAAUUUUCAGCUCAAAUCAACACCAAAAACCAGCUUGAAGCAGUCCCAAUGCACCUCUUAAAUGCAGCUCAAAAGUGCUGCCAGACAGAGCUGCUACAGAGACAACAACAACCCCAAAAAUCAGUUCCAAACUAGCCCUAAACCGUCUUAAAAUCAC
Molecule: long non-coding RNA, 236 nt
Filed under: Nicotiana benthamiana
Lineage: Eukaryota; Viridiplantae; Streptophyta; Magnoliopsida; Solanales; Solanaceae
Description: long non-coding RNA (NBEN_LNC025127)
Source: RNAcentral